GGGCGUUUAGCUCAGUGGUAGAGCGUCGCAUUUACACUGCGAAGGUCGUAGGUUCAAUCCCCACAACGCCCA
This 72-nucleotide transfer RNA is filed under the name Parcubacteria group bacterium CG1_02_42_13. RNAcentral describes it as "tRNA-Val". It matches the Rfam family "tRNA". From Rfam's summary of the family: Transfer RNA (tRNA) molecules are approximately 80 nucleotides in length. Their secondary structure includes four short double-helical elements and three loops (D, anti-codon, and T loops). RNAcentral also lists the same sequence under 1 other name. The record is from RNAcentral.